UGAAGUGCGGCGGCUAUAAUGCAGUCGACGAACUCUGGUAUUGAUUGGUGCUUGCAUCAUGAUUUACAUUUGAGUGAGUGGCGAACUGGUGAGUAACACGUGGGAAACCUGCCCAGAAGCGGGGGAUAACACCUGGAAACAGAUGCUAAUACCGCAUAACAACUUGGACCGCAUGGUCCGAGUUUGAAAGAUGGCUUCGGCUAUCACUUUUGGAUGGUCCCGCGGCGUAUUAGCUAGAUGGUGGGGUAACGGCUCACCAUGGCAAUGAUACGUAGCCGACCUGAGAGGGUAAUCGGCCACAUUGGGACUGAGACACGGCCCAAACUCCUACGGGAGGCAGCAGUAGGGAAUCUUCCACAAUGGACGAAAGUCUGAUGGAGCAACGCCGCGUGAGUGAAGAAGGGUUUCGGCUCGUAAAACUCUGUUGUUAAAGAAGAACAUAUCUGAGAGUAACUGUUCAGGUAUUGACGGUAUUUAACCAGAAAGCCACGGCUAACUACGUGCCAGCAGCCGCGGUAAUACGUAGGUGGCAAGCGUUGUCCGGAUUUAUUGGGCGUAAAGCGAGCGCAGGCGGUUUUUUAAGUCUGAUGUGAAAGCCUUCGGCUCAACCGAAGAAGUGCAUCGGAAACUGGGAAACUUGAGUGCAGAAGAGGACAGUGGAACUCCAUGUGUAGCGGUGAAAUGCGUAGAUAUAUGGAAGAACACCAGUGGCGAAGGCGGCUGUCUGGUCUGUAACUGACGCUGAGGCUCGAAAGUAUGGGUAGCAAACAGGAUUAGAUACCCUGGUAGUCCAUACCGUAAACGAUGAAUGCUAAGUGUUGGAGGGUUUCCGCCCUUCAGUGCUGCAGCUAACGCAUUAAGCAUUCCGCCUGGGGAGUACGGCCGCAAGGCUGAAACUCAAAGGAAUUGACGGGGGCCCGCACAAGCGGUGGAGCAUGUGGUUUAAUUCGAAGCUACGCGAAGAACCUUACCAGGUCUUGACAUACUAUGCAAAUCUAAGAGAUUAGACGUUCCCUUCGGGGACAUGGAUACAGGUGGUGCAUGGUUGUCGUCAGCUCGUGUCGUGAGAUGUUGGGUUAAGUCCCGCAACGAGCGCAACCCUUAUUAUCAGUUGCCAGCAUUAAGUUGGGCACUCUGGUGAGACUGCCGGUGACAAACCGGAGGAAGGUGGGGAUGACGUCAAAUCAUCAUGCCCCUUAUGACCUGGGCUACACACGUGCUACAAUGGAUGGUACAACGAGUUGCGAACUCGCGAGAGUAAGCUAAUCUCUUAAAGCCAUUCUCAGUUCGGAUUGUAGGCUGCAACUCGCCUACAUGAAGUCGGAAUCGCUAGUAAUCGCGGAUCAGCAUGCCGCGGUGAAUACGUUCCCGGGCCUUGUACACACCGCCCGUCACACCAUGAGAGUUUGUAACACCCAAAGUCGGUGGGGUAACCUUUUAGGAACCAGCCGCCUAAGGUGACAGAUUU
Molecule: ribosomal RNA, 1468 nt
Filed under: Lactiplantibacillus plantarum
Lineage: Bacteria; Bacillati; Bacillota; Bacilli; Lactobacillales; Lactobacillaceae
Description: bacterial SSU rRNA
Rfam family: Bacterial small subunit ribosomal RNA
Source: RNAcentral